UCCUACGGGAGGCAGCAGUGGGGAAUUUUCCGCAAUGGGCGAAAGGCCUGACGGAGCAAUACCGCGUGAGGGAUGAAGGCCUAGGGGUUGUAAACCUCUUUUUUCAGGGAGGAAUGUUUGACGUGUACCUGAAGAAUAAGCAUCGGCUAACUCCGUGCCAGCAGCCGCGGUAA
Molecule: ribosomal RNA, 173 nt
Filed under: uncultured eukaryote
Lineage: Eukaryota
Description: partial 16S ribosomal RNA
Rfam family: Bacterial small subunit ribosomal RNA
Source: RNAcentral